GGGUUGUGAGGUUAAGCGACUAAGCGUACACGGUGGAUGCCCUGGCAGUCAGAGGCGAUGAAGGACGUGCUAAUCUGCGAUAAGCGUCGGUAAGGUGAUAUGAACCGUUAUAACCGGCGAUUUCCGAAUGGGGAAACCCAGUGUGAUUCGUCACACUAUCAUUAACUGAAUCCAUAGGUUAAUGAGGCGAACCGGGGGAACUGAAACAUCUAAGUACCCCGAGGAAAAGAAAUCAACCGAGAUUCCCCCAGUAGCGGCGAGCGAACGGGGAGCAGCCCAGAGCCUGAAUCAGUGUGUGUGUUAGUGGAAGCGUCUGGAAAGGCGCGCGAUACAGGGUGACAGCCCCGUACACAAAAAUGCACAUGCUGUGAGCUCGAUGAGUAGGGCGGGACACGUGGUAUCCUGUCUGAAUAUGGGGGGACCAUCCUCCAAGGCUAAAUACUCCUGACUGACCGAUAGUGAACCAGUACCGUGAGGGAAAGGCGAAAAGAACCCCGGCGAGGGGAGUGAAAAAGAACCUGAAACCGUGUACGUACAAGCAGUGGGAGCACGCUUAGGCGUGUGACUGCGUACCUUUUGUAUAAUGGGUCAGCGACUUAUAUUCUGUAGCAAGGUUAACCGAAUAGGGGAGCCGAAGGGAAACCGAGUCUUAACUGGGCGUUAAGUUGCAGGGUAUAGACCCGAAACCCGGUGAUCUAGCCAUGGGCAGGUUGAAGGUUGGGUAACACUAACUGGAGGACCGAACCGACUAAUGUUGAAAAAUUAGCGGAUGACUUGUGGCUGGGGGUGAAAGGCCAAUCAAACCGGGAGAUAGCUGGUUCUCCCCGAAAGCUAUUUAGGUAGCGCCUCGUGAAUUCAUCUCCGGGGGUAGAGCACUGUUUCGGCAAGGGGGUCAUCCCGACUUACCAACCCGAUGCAAACUGCGAAUAUCGGAGAAUGUUAUCACGGGAGACACACGGCGGGUGCUAACGUCCGUCGUGAAGAGGGAAACAACCCAGACCGCCAGCUAAGGUCCCAAAGUCAUGGUUAAGUGGGAAACGAUGUGGGAAGGCCCAGACAGCCAGGAUGUUGGCUUAGAAGCAGCCAUCAUUUAAAGAAAGCGUAAUAGCUCACUGGUCGAGUCGGCCUGCGCGGAAGAUGUAACGGGGCUAAACCAUGCACCGAAGCUGCGGCAGCGACACUGUGUGUUGUUGGGUAGGGGAGCGUUCUGUAAGCCUGCGAAGGUGUGCUGUGAGGCAUGCUGGAGGUAUCAGAAGUGCGAAUGCUGACAUAAGUAACGAUAAAGCGGGUGAAAAGCCCGCUCGCCGGAAGACCAAGGGUUCCUGUCCAACGUUAAUCGGGGCAGGGUGAGUCGACCCCUAAGGCGAGGCCGAAAGGCGUAGUCGAUGGGAAACAGGUUAAUAUUCCUGUACUUGGUGUUACUGCGAAGGGGGGACGGAGAAGGCUAUGUUGGCCGGGCGACGGUUGUCCCGGUUUAAGCGUGUAGGCUGGUUUUCCAGGCAAAUCCGGAAAAUCAAGGCUGAGGCGUGAUGACGAGGCACUACGGUGCUGAAGCAACAAAUGCCCUGCUUCCAGGAAAAGCCUCUAAGCAUCAGGUAACAUCAAAUCGUACCCCAAACCGACACAGGUGGUCAGGUAGAGAAUACCAAGGCGCUUGAGAGAACUCGGGUGAAGGAACUAGGCAAAAUGGUGCCGUAACUUCGGGAGAAGGCACGCUGAUACGUAGGUGAAGUCCCUCGCGGAUGGAGCUGAAAUCAGUCGAAGAUACCAGCUGGCUGCAACUGUUUAUUAAAAACACAGCACUGUGCAAACACGAAAGUGGACGUAUACGGUGUGACGCCUGCCCGGUGCCGGAAGGUUAAUUGAUGGGGUCAGCGCAAGCGAAGCUCUUGAUCGAAGCCCCGGUAAACGGCGGCCGUAACUAUAACGGUCCUAAGGUAGCGAAAUUCCUUGUCGGGUAAGUUCCGACCUGCACGAAUGGCGUAAUGAUGGCCAGGCUGUCUCCACCCGAGACUCAGUGAAAUUGAACUCGCUGUGAAGAUGCAGUGUACCCGCGGCAAGACGGAAAGACCCCGUGAACCUUUACUAUAGCUUGACACUGAACAUUGAGCCUUGAUGUGUAGGAUAGGUGGGAGGCUUUGAAGUGUGGACGCCAGUCUGCAUGGAGCCGACCUUGAAAUACCACCCUUUAAUGUUUGAUGUUCUAACGUUGACCCGUAAUCCGGGUUGCGGACAGUGUCUGGUGGGUAGUUUGACUGGGGCGGUCUCCUCCUAAAGAGUAACGGAGGAGCACGAAGGUUGGCUAAUCCUGGUCGGACAUCAGGAGGUUAGUGCAAUGGCAUAAGCCAGCUUGACUGCGAGCGUGACGGCGCGAGCAGGUGCGAAAGCAGGUCAUAGUGAUCCGGUGGUUCUGAAUGGAAGGGCCAUCGCUCAACGGAUAAAAGGUACUCCGGGGAUAACAGGCUGAUACCGCCCAAGAGUUCAUAUCGACGGCGGUGUUUGGCACCUCGAUGUCGGCUCAUCACAUCCUGGGGCUGAAGUAGGUCCCAAGGGUAUGGCUGUUCGCCAUUUAAAGUGGUACGCGAGCUGGGUUUAGAACGUCGUGAGACAGUUCGGUCCCUAUCUGCCGUGGGCGCUGGAGAACUGAGGGGGGCUGCUCCUAGUACGAGAGGACCGGAGUGGACGCAUCACUGGUGUUCGGGUUGUCAUGCCAAUGGCACUGCCCGGUAGCUAAAUGCGGAAGAGAUAAGUGCUGAAAGCAUCUAAGCACGAAACUUGCCCCGAGAUGAGUUCUCCCUGACUCCUUGAGAGUCCUGAAGGAACGUUGAAGACGACGACGUUGAUAGGCCGGGUGUGUAAGCGCAGCGAUGCGUUGAGCUAACCGGUACUAAUGAACCGUGAGGCUUAACCUUACAACGCCGAAGGUGUUU
Molecule: ribosomal RNA, 2930 nt
Filed under: Escherichia coli
Lineage: Bacteria; Pseudomonadati; Pseudomonadota; Gammaproteobacteria; Enterobacterales; Enterobacteriaceae
Description: 23S ribosomal RNA
Rfam family: Bacterial large subunit ribosomal RNA
Source: RNAcentral